AGGGCACCACCAGGAGUGGAGCCUGCGGCUUAAUUUGACUCAACACGGGGAAACUCACCCGGCCCGGGCACCGUAAGGAUUGACAGAUUGAUAGCUUUUUCAUGAUUCGGUGGAUGGUGGUGCAUGGCCGUUCUUAGUUCGUGGAGCGAUUUGUCUGGUUUAUUCCGAUAACGAGCGAGACUCUAGCCUACUAAAUAGUUCGCACAUUGUCUCUGUGUGUGUGACUUCUUAGAGGGAUUUUCGGUGUUCAGCCGCACGAAAUUGAGCAAUAACAGGUCUGUGAUGCCCUUAGAUGUCCGGGGCUGCACGCGCGCUACACUGGCAAAAUCAGCGUGCUUGUCCUUCCCCGAAAGGGGUUGGUAAACCCUUGAAAAUUUGCCGUGAUUGGGAUUGGAAAUUGCAAUUAUUUUCCAUGAACGAGGAAUUCCAAGUAAGUGCGAGUCAUCAGCUCGCGUUGAUUACGUCCCUGCCCUUUGUACACACCGCCCGUCGCUGCCCGGGACUGAGCCAUUUCGAGAA
This 519-nucleotide ribosomal RNA is filed under the name uncultured eukaryote. Its description in RNAcentral is "SSU rRNA". It matches the Rfam family "Eukaryotic small subunit ribosomal RNA", at positions 1161 to 1705 of the family's 1831-position model. The record is from RNAcentral.